This is a long non-coding RNA of Gossypium raimondii (Peruvian cotton), 465 nucleotides long. RefSeq lists it as uncharacterized. The record is from RefSeq and is a predicted model, not a curated record. The transcript has 2 exons. NCBI's taxonomy places the organism in Eukaryota, Viridiplantae, Streptophyta, Magnoliopsida, Malvales, Malvaceae.
GUCCCAUUUUUAACACUAUAAAAUCCCAUUUUAAAACCCUAAACUCAUUUUCCUUCUUCCUUUGAAGCUGCGCCGUAUCUCUGCCUCUGAAAACUCCUCCCCUGCUCCGAUGGCGACGAAACAAAGGAGCUUCAACGACGCCACACCGGUAUGGAGAUCGUGGAAUGAGUGCGUCGUGGGUGAUGACGGUUGCUGCAACGUGGGCUGUUGGGCGUUCGUGCGCGAAGACAGUUGUUGCGGCACCAAGGCUGGGAAGGAAACUGCUGCUGCAGCACUGAGGCGAAAAGGCUUUGCUGGGUUUAUUGGGCUAGGUUAGAUUUAGUUUUAGGCUAAUGUAAUUGGGUUAUAAUUUGGGCUUGUUAUUUAUUUUUUAACCAGGCCAAAAUUGGCCUAUUACAUAUAUAUAUAUAUAUAUAUAAAUAGAAACACCCAAAAAUUUAAGAUAAUAAAUUUCAUCUUUUCUCA